GCGCGAGCGGUCAGCAUCCGGAAUCUGGUCCCUGCAGGCGUGGGGUUCCACGUGGGAGGAGACUUGAAUGAAAAUUCUGUGGAGAAUCUUCAGCAGGAAACACUUCAGGAUCUGUUACAUGAGCUUUCCUUCUGGCUAGUUUUGGAAGGCAUGGCCAGUACAAUUACUGGAAGUCAGGAUUGUAUUGUGAAUCAUCGAGGGGAAAUGGAUGGGGAGCCUGAACUAGAUAUUUCCCCUUGUCAACACUGGGGAGAAGCAUCUUCUCCUAUUUCCAGAAACAGGGACAGUGUGAUGACUCUUCAAAGUGAUUGUUUCAAAAACAUUGAAAGUGAAACAUAUUUGCCUUUGAAAGUCUCAAGCCAAAUAGACACACAAUACUCUUCAGUGAAGUUCUGUAAGAAUGAGCCUCGGGGUCAUCAGGAAAGCAAACGUCUCUUUGUAAUGGAAGAAAGCACUGAGAGAAAAGUGAUAAAGGGGGAAAGUUGUUCAGGGAACCUUCAAGUUAAACUGGUGUCUGAUAAACAAGAACUGGCCUCGCCAUUGUUAAAUGGUGAGGCAACUUGCCAGAAUGGCCAGUUAGAAGAAUCUUCGGAUCCCAUUGACUGUAACUGCAAAGACAUUCAUGGAUGGAAAUCACAGGUGGUCAGUUGUAGUCAUCAGAGAGCUCACACAGAGGAGAAACCCUGUGACCAUAAUAACUG
Molecule: small RNA, 701 nt
Filed under: Pongo abelii (Sumatran orangutan)
Lineage: Eukaryota; Metazoa; Chordata; Mammalia; Primates; Hominidae
Description: processed transcript
Source: RNAcentral